This 1369-nucleotide ribosomal RNA is filed under the name uncultured bacterium. RNAcentral describes it as "bacterial SSU rRNA". It matches the Rfam family "Bacterial small subunit ribosomal RNA", at positions 28 to 1381 of the family's 1533-position model. The record is from RNAcentral.
GACGAACGCUGGCGGCGUGCCUAAUACAUGCAAGUAGAACGCUGAAGAGAGGAGCUUGCUCUUCUUGGAUGAGUUGCGAACGGGUGAGUAACGCGUAGGUAACCUGCCUUGUGGCGGGGGAUAACUAUUGGAAACGAUAGCUAAUACCGCAUAACAAUGGAUGACACAUGUCAUUUAUUUGAAAGGGGCAAUUGCUCCACUACAAGAUGGACCUGCGUUGUAUUAGCUAGUAGGUGAGGUAAUGGCUCACCUAGGCGACGAUACAUAGCCGACCUGAGAGGGUGAUCGGCCACACUGGGACUGAGACACGGCCCAGACUCCUACGGGAGGCAGCAGUAGGGAAUCUUCGGCAAUGGGGGCAACCCUGACCGAGCAACGCCGCGUGAGUGAAGAAGGUUUUCGGAUCGUAAAGCUCUGUUGUAAGUCAAGAACGGGUGUGAGAGUGGAAAGUUCACACUGUGACGGUAGCUUACCAGAAAGGGACGGCUAACUACGUGCCAGCAGCCGCGGUAAUACGUAGGUCCCGAGCGUUGUCCGGAUUUAUUGGGCGUAAAGCGAGCGCAGGCGGUUUGAUAAGUCUGAAGUUAAAGGCUGUGGCUCAACCAUAGUUCGCUUUGGAAACUGUCAAACUUGAGUGCAGAAGGGGAGAGUGGAAUUCCAUGUGUAGCGGUGAAAUGCGUAGAUAUAUGGAGGAACACCGGUGGCGAAAGCGGCUCUCUGGUCUGUAACUGACGCUGAGGCUCGAAAGCGUGGGGAGCGAACAGGAUUAGAUACCCUGGUAGUCCACGCCGUAAACGAUGAGUGCUAGGUGUUGGAUCCUUUCCGGGAUUCAGUGCCGCAGCUAACGCAUUAAGCACUCCGCCUGGGGAGUACGACCGCAAGGUUGAAACUCAAAGGAAUUGACGGGGGCCCGCACAAGCGGUGGAGCAUGUGGUUUAAUUCGAAGCAACGCGAAGAACCUUACCAGGUCUUGACAUCCCGAUGCUAUUUCUAGAGAUAGAAAGUUACUUCGGUACAUCGGUGACAGGUGGUGCAUGGUUGUCGUCAGCUCGUGUCGUGAGAUGUUGGGUUAAGUCCCGCAACGAGCGCAACCCCUAUUGUUAGUUGCCAUCAUUCAGUUGGGCACUCUAGCGAGACUGCCGGUAAUAAACCGGAGGAAGGUGGGGAUGACGUCAAAUCAUCAUGCCCCUUAUGACCUGGGCUACACACGUGCUACAAUGGUUGGUACAACGAGUUGCGAGUCGGUGACGGCGAGCUAAUCUCUUAAAGCCAAUCUCAGUUCGGAUUGUAGGCUGCAACUCGCCUACAUGAAGUCGGAAUCGCUAGUAAUCGCGGAUCAGCACGCCGCGGUGAAUACGUUCCCGGGCCU